RNAcentral lists this ribosomal RNA (492 nucleotides) under uncultured bacterium. RNAcentral describes it as "partial 16S ribosomal RNA". It matches the Rfam family "Bacterial small subunit ribosomal RNA", at positions 29 to 507 of the family's 1533-position model. The record is from RNAcentral.
AGUGAACGCUGGCGGUAGGCCUAACACAUGCAGGUCGAACGGCAGCACAGUAAGUGCUUGCUCUUACGGGUGGCGAGUGGCGGGCGGGUGAGGAAUACAUCGGAACCGACUUUUUCGUGGGGGAUAACGUAGGGAAACUUACGCUAAUACCGCAUACGACCUACGGGUGAAAUCAGGGGAAAUUCGCACCUUGCGCGAUUGCAGGAGCCGAUGUCGGAUUAGCUAGUUGGGGGGGUAAAGGCCCACCAAGGCGACGAGCCGUAGCUGGUCUGAGAGGAUGAUCAGCCACACUGGAACUGAGACACGGUCCAGACUCCUACGGGAGGCAGCAGUGGGGAAUAUUGGACAAUGGGCGAAAGCCUGAUCCAGCCAUACCGCGUGGGUGAAGAAGGCCUUCGGGUUGUAAAGCCCUUUUGUUGGGAAAGAAAAGCAGCAGGUUAAUACCCCGCUGUUCUGACGGUACCCAACGAAUAAGCACCGGCUAACUUCGUG